CCUACGGGUGGCAGCAGUGAGGAAUAUUGGUCAAUGGGCGCGAGCCUGAACCAGCAAAGUCGCGUGAGGGAAGACGGUCCUAUGGAUUGUAAACCUCUUUUGUCGGGGCGCAAAAGACGCCACGCGUGGCGUUCCGAGAGUACCCGAAGAACAAGCAUCGGCUAACUCCGUGCCAGCAGCCGCGGUAAUACGGAGGAUGCGAGCGUUAUACGGAUUUAUUGGGUUAAAGGGGUGCGCAGGCGGAAGAUCAAGUCAGCGGGAAAAUUGAGAGGCUCAACCUCUUCGAGCCGUUGAAACUGGUUUUCUUGAGUGAGCGAGAAGUAUGCGGAAUGCGUGGUGUAGCGGUGAAAUGCAUAGAUAUCACGCAGAACUCCGAUUGCGAAGGCAGCAUACCGGCGCUCAACUGACGCUCAUGCACGAAAGUGUGGGUAUCGAACAGGAUUAGAUACCCCGGUAGUC
RNAcentral lists this ribosomal RNA (459 nucleotides) under uncultured bacterium. RNAcentral's name for it is "partial 16S ribosomal RNA". It matches the Rfam family "Bacterial small subunit ribosomal RNA", at positions 338 to 795 of the family's 1533-position model. The record is from RNAcentral.